RNAcentral lists this ribosomal RNA (1086 nucleotides) under Pediococcus pentosaceus. RNAcentral describes it as "bacterial SSU rRNA". It matches the Rfam family "Bacterial small subunit ribosomal RNA", at positions 381 to 1460 of the family's 1533-position model. Lineage: Bacteria; Bacillati; Bacillota; Bacilli; Lactobacillales; Lactobacillaceae. The record is from RNAcentral.
GUCUGAUGGAGCACGCCGCGUGAGUGAAGAAGGGUUUCGGCUCGUAAAGCUCUGUUGUUAAAGAAGAACGUGGGUAAGAGUAACUGUUUACCCAGUGACGGUAUUUAACCAGAAAGCCACGGCUAACUACGUGCCAGCAGCCGCGGUAAUACGUAGGUGGCAAGCGUUAUCCGGAUUUAUUGGGCGUAAAGCGAGCGCAGGCGGUCUUUUAAGUCUAAUGUGAAAGCCUUCGGCUCAACCGAAGAAGUGCAUUGGAAACUGGGAGACUUGAGUGCAGAAGAGGACAGUGGAACUCCAUGUGUAGCGGUGAAAUGCGUAGAUAUAUGGAAGAACACCAGUGGCGAAGGCGGCUGUCUGGUCUGCAACUGACGCUGAGGCUCGAAAGCAUGGGUAGCGAACAGGAUUAGAUACCCUGGUAGUCCAUGCCGUAAACGAUGAUUACUAAGUGUUGGAGGGUUUCCGCCCUUCAGUGCUGCAGCUAACGCAUUAAGUAAUCCGCCUGGGGAGUACGACCGCAAGGUUGAAACUCAAAAGAAUUGACGGGGGCCCGCACAAGCGGUGGAGCAUGUGGUUUAAUUCGAAGCUACGCGAAGAACCUUACCAGGUCUUGACAUCUUCUGACAGUCUAAGAGAUUAGAGGUUCCCUUCGGGGACAGAAUGACAGGUGGUGCAUGGUUGUCGUCAGCUCGUGUCGUGAGAUGUUGGGUUAAGUCCCGCAACGAGCGCAACCCUUAUUACUAGUUGCCAGCAUUAAGUUGGGCACUCUAGUGAGACUGCCGGUGACAAACCGGAGGAAGGUGGGGACGACGUCAAAUCAUCAUGCCCCUUAUGACCUGGGCUACACACGUGCUACAAUGGAUGGUACAACGAGUCGCGAGACCGCGAGGUUAAGCUAAUCUCUUAAAACCAUUCUCAGUUCGGACUGUAGGCUGCAACUCGCCUACACGAAGUCGGAAUCGCUAGUAAUCGCGGAUCAGCAUGCCGCGGUGAAUACGUUCCCGGGCCUUGUACACACCGCCCGUCACACCAUGAGAGUUUGUAACACCCAAAGCCGGUGGGGUAACCUUUUAGGAGCUAGCCGUCUAA